AUUCAGCGGCGGACGGGUGAGUAAUGCCUAGGAAUCUGCCUGGUAGUGGGGGACAACGUUUCGAAAGGAACGCUAAUACCGCAUACGUCCUACGGGAGAAAGCAGGGGACCUUCGGGCCUUGCGCUAUCAGAUGAGCCUAGGUCGGAUUAGCUAGUUGGUGAGGUAAUGGCUCACCAAGGCGACGAUCCGUAACU
Molecule: ribosomal RNA, 195 nt
Filed under: Stephanopyxis turris
Lineage: Eukaryota; Bacillariophyta; Melosirophyceae; Stephanopyxales; Stephanopyxidaceae
Description: partial Bacterial small subunit ribosomal RNA
Rfam family: Bacterial small subunit ribosomal RNA
Source: RNAcentral